Molecule: long non-coding RNA, 740 nt
Filed under: Helianthus annuus (common sunflower)
Lineage: Eukaryota; Viridiplantae; Streptophyta; Magnoliopsida; Asterales; Asteraceae
Description: sRNA HanXRQr2_Chr12g0537621
Source: RNAcentral
GGCCGAUGCGCCUCGCCUGCGCCUUGCGUCUUUGACAACAUAGGUACUAUGUUACUAACCUACCUUAUGUUGUUUUUUUCAAAAUGCUCCCUACUAUCAGGCCUCGUUUAGUGGAUAUAUGCGAGUAUAUGGGGAUCCAACCUUACGGAAUAGACACACACUUGCGAUACAUGCUGCACAAAAUAUUACAAUGGUGUCUUUUUUGUAUUCAUUAAAAUAGUUGCUAAAAUGUUGGUACAUCAAUACUUAAUAGGGAGAGACAGAGUCCGAAUUUUUAAAUAUUGAGUUAUUUUAUGAUGCUGACUUAAAAAGCCUGAGACGCAGUAUGUAUGUGCAUACAUACUACAUCUUAAUCUCAUCCGAAUUUUAGGAAACUUCGGCAAAUAGCGGCUGAACCAGAAGCACACGGUUGGCCCUUUAUCUGCUCACUUAGUCAUUGCUCCGUAAUUUGGUUAUUACACAUGCUAAGAAGGAACUUGGUCUUGCAUUCAAGGGUAGUCAAAAGAUGGUGACUGAAGCACCAGAGGGAUCAGGAUAAGAAAGUGUGAUGUUUGGACUUGACAUCUCUACUCGCACUUCCUGUCGAUUAGUUGCCAAGGGGGCCUUGGAGCGUGUUUUCAAAGCAACACAUGAGUAGCUUGUCGCCUACAAGGAUCAAGUAGGAUGUGUUAUUUUUGUAUUUUGUUCGUCCAAUGAGUCUUUUUUAGCUUUUUGUGCCCUCAUUUGGCAGUUAAUUAUAU